RNAcentral lists this long non-coding RNA (35907 nucleotides) under Triticum aestivum (bread wheat). Its description in RNAcentral is "long non-coding RNA (TAES_LNC013528)". Lineage: Eukaryota; Viridiplantae; Streptophyta; Magnoliopsida; Poales; Poaceae. The record is from RNAcentral.
UCCUUUAUUUGGUUUUCUUUUUCUUCUCCUUUUUUUGUUUAGUUUUCUUUUUUAUUCUCCAUUUUGUGCGUGGUGUUCUUUUUCUUCUCCAUUUUUUGUUAUUCUUUUUCGGUUUUCAUUUCUUUGGUUUUCUUUGUAUCUUUUUGUUUUUCAUUCUACAUUCUUAUAUACACGAUAAAAAAUUCAAAUACUUCUUCAGAAAAAUUCAAAUACUUGUUCAUCACUUUUCGAAUACUUGUUCAUCAUUUUUAUAUACAAGAUCAACAUUUUUUCCAAAUAUUUGUUUGACAUUUCUCAAAUACUUGUUCACCAUUUCCCAAAUACUUGUUCAAUAUUUUCUAUAUACAUGAUCUGCAUUUUUUCAAAUACUUGUUCAGCAUUUGUUUUCAAAUAUUUGUUCAACAUUUUUCUAAAUAUUAUGUAAAAUUAUAUUUUUGUAAUAUAUAUGUCUAGACUAUUUGAAAGUGUAAACAAAACUAAAAAAUGGAAUCAAAAAACAAAAUAAAAACUUGAAGAAAGAAACAGAAAAGAAAACAAGGCAGUGUAGUGCACGCGAACCUGGGCCAGCCCAUAUGCUCGCGCGCUUCAGCGAGUGGGAAGCCUUGAUUCGCGGAACGCGAGACAUAGCGAUGCCCGGAAUCGAACACACGACCAGCGGCGACUCGCUCGCGUUGUUAGACGCUGCGACAAGCUGACUCUAAUGCUAGAUUUGCAGCGUGAUAUUCCAAAAAAGUAACCGCAGCGAAAAAACAUAAAUAAAUAAUUCCCAAUACUUAAAGUGCGUGGGCGUGGGAUCAAACACACGACUUCCAGCAAAGCGAAGAACCUCGCAAGCCACUGUAGCACAUAAAGUAAAUGCUGCCAAGAUUGGCAGCACAGUUUAUAUGAACAUCAAUGAAAAAUUUAAGCUUCUGUUCAAAUUUCGAACAUGAUUUUUAUAACAAAAGUAAAGUAAUUUUUUAAACAAGAACAUUUCCGAGAUUUAGAAAAUGUGAACAUUUUAAAAAAUCUCAAACAUAUUAUGAAAAAAAGGAAAAAAAAUUGAAAGCGAGAACAUUUCUCAAAAGUAUGAAUAAAUAUUUUCAAAAUGCAAACAUUUUCUGAAAAAAAGGAACAACAAUUGAACAACCUGACAUUUUUUUGAAAUUAUGAACAUUUUAUCCAAACGAGAACAUUUUAUGAAAUUCCACACACAUUUACCUUAAAUUGUGAAAAAAAUUGAAAACAUCAAUAUUUUUGAAUUUUUGAAUAAAUUUCAAAAAUAGGAAUAUUUUUCAAAAUUAUGAACUUUUUUUUCCAAAACACAAUUAUUUUAUGAAUUUCGCCAAAAUAAUUUCGAAAUUUGCAAUCAAUUUUGAAAACAUGAAAAUUAUUUGAAUUUCUGAGCACAUUUAGAAAACGGAAAUAUAUUUUGCAACUCAGGAACAUGUUUUGAAUUUUUCAGCAAAAAUGAAUAAAUUUCAAAAAAAAAUUGGAAAUUUCGAAAAUCCAUUUUUUCCGAUUUUUGAGCGAUUUCUUGUUUUCUUAAAAGAUGCAGAAAAUUGAAUUUCUAUUUUCAUUGGAUUUUGCAAUAAUUUCUGAAACAUUUUUGAAUUUUCAAAAAAAAUUGUAAAGAGGCAAGGAAAAUUGGAAAUUCUUAAAUUUUUUUGCAAUUUCUUAGGAAAUUUGAAGAAAGGAACAUUUUAAUUGAAAAAAGCAACAAAUUUUGAUAAAUGUGAACAUUUUUGAAAUUUCUGAAAAUCUUGUUGAAAAAUAAAAAUUAUGAAAAUGCAAAAGAAAAAGAGAAAAGAAAAGAAAGGAAAUCCAGGAAAACAGAAAACAAAAACGUAAAGUAAAAGAAAAAUAAAAAACCCGGUUCAACUCAAAUGCUUGAUUAACAUUUUUAUAUACAUGAUAAAAAUUCUUUAUUUUAAUUACCUGGUCAAAAAAAUUCCAUACACGUUUAACAUUUUCCAAGUGCUGGAUUAACAUUUUCAUAAUACUUGUGCAACAUAUUUUCAAAUCCUUCAUUAACACUUUUAUGUACGUGAUAAAAAAUUCAUAGUUUUUUAAUACAUGGUCAAAAAAAUUCUAUACACAUUUCGCAUUUUUCAAAUGCAUGAUUAACAUUUUUGAAAUACUUGUUCAACAUUUUUUUCAAAAGCUUGGUUAACAUUUUUACAUACAUGAUCAAAAGAAUUCAUCAUAUUUUAAUACAUUGUCAACAUUUUUUCUAUACACAUUUAACAUCUUUCAAACACAUGAUUAACAUUUUUCAAAACAUUAUGCAAAGUAUACAUCUGUAAUAUAUAUGUUUAAAUAUUUGGAAGCCUAAACGAAAUUAAAAAUAGAAAUCAAGAAACAAAAGAAAACAGAAAAAAAAGAAGCACCCGCAUCCCGCACACUGAGCCGGCCCAUACGCUCGCUCGAGUGGGAGGCCUUUGAAAAAAUGUUGAAAAAGUAUUUGAAAAAGGUUACUCAAGCAUUUGCAAAUUGUUAAAUGUGUAUAGAGAAAAUGUUGACUAAGUAUUAGAAAAUGAUGAAAAAAAUUGAGCAUGUACAUAAAAAUCUUAACCAAGCUUUUCAAGAAAUGUUGAACAGGUAUUUGAGAAAUGUUAAUUAAGAAUUUGAAAGAUAUAAAAUGUGUACAGAAAAAAUGAUGGCCAUGUAUAUAGAAAAUAUUAAACUUGUAUUUGAAAAGGUUAAAUGUGUCUAGAAAAUGUUGAGCAUGUAUUCAGGAAAUAUUAAACUUGUAUUUGAAAAAUGUUAAUCAAGAAUUUAAAAAAAAUUGUAUAGAAAAUACGUAGACCAUGUAUUAAAAUAUUUUAAUCUGGUAGUUGAAAAAUGUUAAUCAAGCAUUUAAAAAAUUUAAAUGUGUAUACAAAAAAGUGAAUCCUGCGAGAGAUGAAAUGAUGAAAAAUGAGAAAGAGGCAAUCAAAACCAAAAGACAAACAAAAAGAAAAGAAAGAAAAUAAAUAACAAUUGAAAACCAGAGAAAAUAACUAAAUAAAAUCAAAGAAAAAAGAAAGGAAAGAAGAAACCAGUGAAAAUGGAGAAAAUAAACUAAGAAAAACAUGUGAAAAAAUAAAAACAAAAAACCCGAAAAAUGAAUUAAAAAUCAUAUCUUUUUCCUCUCAAGUAGGUCGCGCCCCUAGUGUUUAGCAUGAAACGGAAGCUAAGCCAGUUGCAAGCCGCUCUAUCUACUAUCUAGGAGAUCAUGAGAUCGACUCCCGGCGCUCACCCCUUUUCCAUCUCUAUUUCUCUUUUCGGUGCUAGCUAAUGGGCCGGCCCAUCACUGGACAUGCUAGAGUGAGAGAUCCUUCUCACUCGCUUAAUGCAAGAUGUAGCUGCCGCGUCGAUUGGGAGGCACUAGUCCUACGUGUAUUGCCUUCUGUAAAAUAAACGAUUCCGAAAAUUUCAUAAAAAAUAUUAAAAAAACCUAAAUGGUAGAUAAUGCAGCUGCGCUAUUCGGCGAAGUUGAGCGCACGCAUGUGAGCUGUCCGAUGCUGGCGCAAUUUCGCUACGCGGCAAACUAUUAGAAAAACUGUGACGCCCCCGAUUCAAUCAUACACUAAUCAUACACGCAAACUUGUACGAUCAGGAUCAGGGACUCACGGGAAGAUAUCACAACACAACUCUAAAAUAAAAUAAGUCAUACGAGCAUCAUAAUACAAGCCGGGAGCCUCGAGGGCUCGAAUACAAGUGCUCGAUCAUAGACGAGCCAGCGGAAGCAACAAUAUCUGACUACAUACAAAAGUUAAACAAGUUUGCCUUAAGAAGGCUAGCACAAAUUGGGAUACAGAUCGAAAGCGGCGCAUGCCUCCUGCGUGGGAUCCUCCUAAACUACUCCUGGUCGUCGUCAGCGGCUUGAACGUAGUAGUAGGCACCUCCGGUGUAGUAGGAGUCGUCGUCGACGGUGUCGUCUGGCUCCUGGGCUCCAGCAUCUGGUUGCGACAACCAGGUAGAAGGGGAAGGGGGAAAGAGGGAGAAAAGCAACCGUGAGUACUCAUCCAAAGUACUCGGAAGCAAGGAUCUACACUACAUAUGCAUGGGUACAUGUGUAAAGAGGCAAUAUCGGUGGACUGAACUGCAGAAUGCCAGAAUAAGAGGGGUAUAGCUAGUCCUGUCGAAGACUACGCUUCUGGCAGCCUCCAUCUUGCAGCAUGGAGAGGAGAGGAGAUGGUAAGUUCAUCAAGUAGCAUCGUAUAGCAUACUCCUACCCGGCGAUCCUCUCCUCGUCGCCCUGCUAGAGAGCGACCACCGGGUUGUAUCUGGCACUUGGAAGGGUGUGUUUUAUUAAGUAUCCAGUUCUAGUUGUCAUAAGGUCAAGGUACAACUCCAAGUCGUCCUGUUACCGAAGAUCACGGCUGUUCGAAUAGAUAAACUUCCCUGCAGGGGUGCACCACAUAACCCAACACGCUCGAUCCCAUUUGGCCGGACACACUUUCCUGGGUCAUGCCCGGCCUCGGAAGAUCAACACGUCGCAGCCCUACCUAGGCACAACAGAGAGGUCAGCACGCCGGUCUAAAUCCUAUGCGCGCAGGGGUCUGGGCCCAUCGCCCGUUGCUCACCUGCACGUUGCGAACGCGGCCGGAAGCAGACCUAGCCUAGCAGGCGUUCCAGUCCAAUCCGGCGCGCGCCGCUCAGUCGCUGACGUCACGAAGGCUUCGGCUGAUACCACGACGUCGAGUGCCCAUAACUGUUCCCGCGUAGUUGGUUAGUGCGUAUAGGCCAGUGGCCAGACUCGGAUCAAAUACCAAGAUCUCGUUAAGCGUGUUAUUAUGAAGUAACCGCGGACGCCGACCAGGGCGAGGCCCACCUCUCUCCUAGGUGGUCUCAACCUGCCAUGUCGCUCCGCCACAAAGAUUCACCCAGAGGGCCGUUGGGACAAAGGUCCUUUCAGCCCCCAAUCCGUGAAUCACUCGCGGGUACUCCUCGAGCCGACCCGACUUUAGUCACCACAUGUAUCAUGUAUAAAGUGUAUAGUAUAUAUCCGUGAUCACCUCCCUAGUGAUCACGGCCGAUAGUAUAGCAUGGCAGAUAGACAAGAAUGUAGGGCCAUAGAUGGAAUACUAGCAUCCUAUACUAAGCAUGUAGGAUUGCAGGUAAAGGUAACAACAGUAGUGGCAAAGACAGGCUAUGCAGCAGAAUAGGAUUAACGGAAAGCAGUAACAUGCUACACUAUUCUAAUGCAAGCAGUAUAGAGAAGAAUAGGCGAUAUCUGGUGAUCAAGGGGGGGGGCUUGCCUGGUUGCUCUGGCAAGAAGGAGGGAUCGCCGUCGACGUAGUCGUACUCAGGGGCAUCAGCGUCGGUCUCAGGGUCUACCGGAGAAGAAGAGGGGGAAGAAACAGUAAAUACAUUGCAAACAGAUGCAUGACGAUGCAUGACAAAGCAAACAUCGGUGCUAGGUGUGCCCUAAUGCGGUAGGAGGUGAUACAGGCGAAGGGGGAAAACAUCCGGGAAAGUAUUCCCGGUGUUUCGUGUUUUCGGACAGAUGAACCGGAGGGGGAAAGUUGCGAGUUUUCUAUGCUAGGGAUGUGUGGCGGACGAACGGGCUGCAUAUCCUGAUUCGUCUCGUCGUUCUGAGCAACUUUGUACAAAGUAUUUUCAUCUGAGCUACGGUUUAUUUUAUAUGAUUUUCAAAAGUUUUAAAUCAUUUUUAGAAUUUAUUUAAUUCAAAAUUAUCCAGAAUAGUGUUUGCUGACAUCAUCAUGACGUCAGUAGUCAACAGAGGUGUUGACGGGUCAAACUGACGUGUGGGUCCCACUUGUCAUACUCUCCUUAGGUUAAUUAGGAUUGAGCUAAAUUAAUUACUGUUUAACUAACUAACUAGUUAUUAGAUUAAUUAACCAGGUUUAAUUAAGUUAAUUAAUUAUUAUUUUAACUACUAUUUAUUUAUUUAAAGUUUUAUUAUUUAUUUAUUUUCUUUAAAAUCGUUCUAGGGAUGGCCCACCAGUCAUUGGCACAAGGGGGCGAGGCCAGCUCUCAUAGGCCCCUGUGGCCUUAGCGGUCGGGCGGGCGUAGCGGCAACGGGGCGGAGCCAGGCGCUGGGCGCCCGAUUGGGGGAGCCCGGGCGCAGGCCGAAGGGGCACCGCGGGGGGCGCCGGAGAGGCGCCUGCUGGGACCGGAGAGGGCGCGGCCAAGUGCUGUGCAGAGCCAUGGGGCGGCAGUCGGAGGUGGUGUCGCGGCGGGAGGGGGCGCGGCAGCCGGAGCGGGGCAGUGCGGCGAGCAGCACCGGGCACGGUGGCGAGCAAGACCAUGANNNNNNNNNNNNNNNNNNNNNNNNNNNNNNNNNNNNNNNNNNNNNNNNNNNNNNNNNNNNNNNNNNNNNNNNNNNNNNNNNNNNNNNNNNNNNNNNNNNNNNNNNNNNNNNNNNNNNNNNNNNNNNNNNNNNNNNNNNNNNNNNNNNNNNNNNNNNNNNNNNNNNNNNNNNNNNNNNNNNNNNNNNNNNNNNNNNNNNNNNNNNNNNNNNNNNNNNNNNNNNNNNNNNNNNNNNNNNNNNNNNNNNNNNNNNNNNNNNNNNNNNNNNNNNNNNNNNNNNNNNNNNNNNNNNNNNNNNNNNNNNNNNNNNNNNNNNNNNNNNNNNNNNNNNNNNNNNNNNNNNNNNNNNNNNNNNNNNNNNNNNNNNNNNNNNNNNNNNNNNNNNNNNNNNNNNNNNNNNNNNNNNNNNNNNNNNNNNNNNNNNNNNNNNNNNNNNNNNNNNNNNNNNNNNNNNNNNNNNNNNNNNNNNNNNNNNNNNNNNNNNNNNNNNNNNNNNNNNNNNNNNNNNNNNNNNNNNNNNNNNNNNNNNNNNNNNNNNNNNNNNNNNNNNNNNNNNNNNNNNNNNNNNNNNNNNNNNNNNNNNNNNNNNNNNNNNGCGCAGCCGAGCGCGGGCGCGUGAGCGGGGCAUCGGGGGCGCGCACAUCGGAGUGGACACGGCCGCGGUGAGCGCGGAGCCGUGCGAGCGAGGAGGCUGGGAGAUCCGGGGCGCGGGCGACGCAUGGGUGCGCGCGUGCGGUGGCCGUGGCGACGAGCGGGAGGCGCGCGUGCAGCACUGGCAGGCGGUGUCGCGCGAGGGAGAGGGGACGGAGCGAGGCUCACGGCGGGUCGUAGGGUUCGGGGCAGCGGGUGUCGGGGUGGUCGACGGGGACGGCGUGACGGAGAGGAGGCAGGCCGGAGCGGGGCUCUGGCGACGGCGUUGAAAGAACCUGCGGUGCCCCCAUGUUUGGUUUUGAUAAUUGAUGACAAUAUCUAUGGACUAAUGGUUGCCUUGAGUUAUAUUUGAAGGAUUUGUCCAUAGGCAUUUCUUGAAGUUCAUGUGUUGGUUUCAAGGAGUUUAUGUGAUGACCAAGGUGUUAUUAAGGAAUUAUCCAAAGAUUGGUCAUGUGAGAGUUGAGCUUAUUGCAAGAAUGUUUUGGAGAAGAAGAUUGUGUGAUCAUUCAUGUAUAUCUUCAAGACAUCAUCCAAAUGAAGAGAGUUGGUUGAUCAAGACUAAGUCAAGAGUGAAUCAACUUGAUCAACUCACAAAGCGUAGAAGAUGUACCGAGAGGGAUCAAGCGAUCCCAUGGUGUGGUAAGCAUUGUCAAUUACGCUUUGUGUACUAACCCAUGAUCUUCGUGAGAGUUCUUUGUGGGGUUAGGUUGCGGUGUGCAAGUUCAAGUGAAGCAUCAUGAAGAGAUCAAAUGCUUGAAGCUUGCCGUCCAUUGUGGUGACAAUGGACUUGUGAAGAUGUUGCGGUGUGCAAGUUCAAGUGAAGCAUCAUGAAGAGAUCAAAUGCUUGAAGCUUGUCAUCCAUUGUGGUGACAAUGGACUUGUGAAGAUGUGCGGAAGAGUGGCUCACCCAUAGUGGAGCAUGGGGGAGCAAUCAACUAGUCUUCAUCGAGCCAACGCAACCAAGAAAGGUGGUCCAACUUGAGGGAGUCAAGAUCGUCAUCAUCUAGCUCAAGUGGACCAUGUGCAAGGCAAAGGUUUGCUCUUGAUAGGUUUUCUAUUUUACCGGUCUCAUGAUGGUAGUUGGGAGACCGGGUUAUAGGAUCGAUUGCCGUACUAUCAAGGGGGCUCUUGAUGAGUAGCUUGAUCGUAUCGUUCAUAGAGAGCUCAAACCAUUGCAUCCUUGCAUCAUCUUUAUUGGUUCUUGUUUGGUUCUUCUCUUUGUGAGGUUUGGAGCUUAUGGUCAUCUUGAUGACAAGCUCGAGUUCAUCGAAAACGGAGUUCACUCGCAUCUUCUAUGAUGUUUUCGAUGUUGGAGGUUAUGCCGGUUCUUCUCGGUUGGAGGUUUCACUCCUCUAUUUGUUGGCAUACCUCCCCUGCCUCUUCUUACUAUGCUGUUUUGAUGCUACUCGUCUUCCUCUAUCCAGCAAGCUUGAGUUUGCUCAAUUCGGAGCUCAUAUGCAGAAGUUAUGGCAGUUUUGGUUUCCUAGCGGUAGUACCGCUUGGGUGCUACAAGCGAUAGUACCGCUCUAGAGCGGCAGUACCGCUGGUAGCCAUCAGCCGUAGUACCGCUGCGGUCUCGUGCUAGUACCGCCUCGAUUCGGGGGGUCUUUUUCGUGUCGGGUUUUACGGUACUAGCCGCGGCAGUGGGGGCCGUAGUACCGCUCAUAUGCGGUAGUACCGCCCUGAACACCGCGGUAGUACCGCUCUGGGCCCAGCGGCAGUACCGUGAGGGAGAGCGGUAGUACCGCUGGCCAAGCGGUAGUACCGCUCUCUGCGGGGCUGGUGUGGGGGGUAACGGUUGGUUUGUUCCCCCCACUAUAUAAGGAGGUCUUCUUCCCCAAUGAACCUUAUCCUUUUGAGCUCGUGUUCUUCCCCCAUUGUUGACCUUCUUCGAGCUUGCUAACUCUCAAUCCCUCCAUGGAUUCUUGCUAGUUUUUGAGGGAAAAGAGAGAGGAGAUCUAGAUCCACAUUUCCACCAAUCACUUUCUCCUCUUUGUGAGGGGAACCCCUUGGAUCUAGAUCUUGGAGUUCUUGGUGUUCUCCUUCUUGUUCUUCCUCUCUUUUUCUCCCUAGCAUUAGUUGCUUCGGUGGGAUUUGAGAGAGAAGGACUUGGGCACUCCGUGUGCCCUUGCCAUUGCAUUUGGUGCAUCGGUUUGAGUUCUCCACGGUGAUACGUGGAAGUUACAAGUUGAGAAGCUUAUUACUCUUGGGUGCUUGGUGCCCUUGAGCUUGUUCCUCUUGGGUGCUUGGGCGCCCUAGACGGUUGGUGGUGUUUGGAGCUCAAUCAUUGUGGUGUAAAGCUACGGGCAAGCGUCGGGGUCUCCAAUUAGUUUGUGGAGAUCGCCCCGAGCAAUUUGACGGGUACCGGUGACCGCCCCCAAGGGUUGCCAAAGUGUACGGGUUCGGUGACCGCCCCCAAGGGUUGCCAUUUGUACGGGUUCGGUGACCGCCCUCAAGGGUCCCUUAGUGGAAUCACGGCAUCUUGCAUUGUGCGAGGGCGUGAGGAGAUUACGGUGGCCCUAGUGGCUUCUUGGGGAGCAUUGUGCCUCCACACCGCUCCAAACGGAGAUUAGCAUCCGCAAGGGUGUGAACUUCGGGAUACAUCGUCAUCUCCGCGUGCCUCGGUUAUCUCUUACCCGAGCCCUUUACUUAUGCACUUUACUUUGUGAUAGCCAUAUUGUUUCUUGUCAUAUCUUGCUAUCACCUAAGUAGGUUUUCUUGCUUAGCAUAAGUUGUUGGUGCACAUAGGUGAGCCUAGUUGUUGUAGGUUUUGUGCUUGACAAAUUAACCGCUAGGUAUAUUCCGCAUUUGUUCAAGCCUAACCGUAAUUAUUUUAAAGCGCCUAUUCACCCCCCCCCCCNNNNNNNNNNNNNNNNNNNNNNNNNNNNNNNNNNNNNNNNNNNNNNNNNNNNNNNNNNNNNNNNNNNNNNNNNNNNNNNNNNNNNNNNNNNNNNNNNNNNNNNNNNNNNNNNNNNNNNNNNNNNNNNNNNNNNNNNNNNNNNNNNNNNNNNNNNNNNNNNNNNNNNNNNNNNNNNNNNNNNNNNNNNNNNNNNNNNNNNNNNNNNNNNNNNNNNNNNNNNNNNNNNNNNNNNNNNNNNNNNNNNNNNNGUGAGCCCCGAUCCGAUCUGGAUCGAGGGGAAAGGGGAGAGAGCGCGUGGGGGGAGUGGUGGCGGCUAGGGUUGGACCAGGGGGGUCGGGGUGACCUAGUAGGGCGCCGGGGUGGGCCGGCCUUGUCGGCCUGAUUGGCCCAGAGGCCAGCUGGGCCGUGGCCCAAAGGGGGGGUUCUCCUGUUAUUUUAUUUUCUGUUUCUGUUUUGUAUUUUCUUUUAUUUAUUUUUCUUUUUCUGUUUUAUUGUACUUUUAAUUUCUUUAGUUUUGUAAAAUAUGACAAUAGCUCCUAAAUUAAUGUCUCUGAAUAACCCACGGCCUUAAAAAGUUUGGUGACUACAUAAACUAGUUUAACAUUUGUUUAUUAAUUUAAAAGCAUUCAAAUAAUUGUUUUGCUACUGUUUUAUUUAGUUAAGUGCAUUUAAACUUUUUAUAAAGACUUGGUUUAUCCACCAAUAUUACUUAUGAAUUAUUUGGCACAAACCGAACAGUUUUCUUUUAAUGUUUGAAAACUUUUGUUGUAUGCCAUAUUUGGAAUUUGAAUUUUGAAUCGGUUUUUGAACUAACGAGGGAUUAGCAACAGUAACGGAGGUGACGUGGCAUCAUUAGUAGAGUUUUUCUGUAGCCUAAUUAUCCGGGCGUCACAAUUCUCCUCCACUACAAGAAAUCUCAUCCCGAGAUUUAAGAGGGGAGUAAGGGAAAAAGUUCUGGUUACGAAAUUUUAACGGGUAUCCUCGGUCAUGGUUGCUCUUCUCGAAGAGGUUGAUCCAUUAUGUUGUUGUCUUCAUUCCUAUGCUUCAGGGCAUCAUGAUGAAGUCAUCAUCCUUUCUUUGGGGGUUCCAUCGUACUUAUGAAAAAGGAUAAUGGGUAUCUUCGGAAGAACUGGCCUCUAGAAGGUCGCUUAUCUGGUAGAUAACACCAGGAAAGGUGGCGAAAAGUAACUCUCGAAUUGUAACUGAAGAAAAUUUCAAGAGCAAGUUAAGAAGGUACCAUGAGAAGUUUCGAUCAGGCAGGAAAUCGUUCGUUGCCUGAAGCGAAGUGUGAAAGGGGUUUAGAACAAAGGGAAUAAGCAUUGUGUUUGGUACCAGAAUAGAUCACUAGGAAGGUGGUCCAUGAAUUACAUAUGAGGCCACGCGCGAGGAACAACCUUGCGAACAGGGGGUGUACAGAAGAGUCAGGUUUCAAUCCUGUGGAACUGUGGGUUAUGGGCCCACCAUGUGGGUUAAAAUUAGAAGGAGCGGUGACAUCUUGCAUGGUCAUGAUAGCAAGGCAGGUCAGAGGGUAGCCUGUCGAUUAUGUCGGCAACAACGUCGGUACCAAGGGCGAGGGACGAAGAGAACCAUUUUCCUGCUCGUCGAAACGAGGCGGACCAAUAGGCAAAGUUCUCGUCCAUCGGUGGUUACCGGAAUUUCAUCAACAAUAGUAACAGGGUCUUACUGACCGAAUUGUACACCACGGUGUUUACAUAAGCCAGGAGAUAUUACUGCUUAUGUCAUAUAGAUCACCAGUAAGGUUAAACAAAACAAUGGAAAGGAAAAGGUGAUCAUCAGAUUAAACAGAACAAUGGAAAGGAAAAUGUGUUUAAACACAUGUUUCAGGGAUAUAUCCUUCCCAAGGACAAGCAGAGCAUGAUAUCCAUGACAGGAUAUAAAGUAGAAAACCCUUUUAGGUAAGGGGAGAGAAAUUUCAUGACAUUACCCAUACAACGAUGUUUGGAUAGUUUAUAAAGAAAAUUUUGCAUUGUGCUCCAAAUGCUCUUAUUGAUGAUCGGAGUACCACAGACAUGCUUCGAGAUAGCAUUGACAUGGUCUUCAAUCAAGGGUCGGACUCUGGAUACACAAAGGAUCCAUUAGGAACAACUUAUAGAAUAAGUCUUACAAUUUCCUCAUGGAAGAAUGGUUAAAUUUGCUAAAAAGUAAACUAUAACAAUAGGACCUCCGGCCAGGUGUGCUAGGCACGACAUCACCUUACCGGGUCACAUAAAGACCAAUGUUAUAACUCUUGGAAAUAUGUUCCAACCAUCAUAUCUGACCGAGAUUCAGAUCUGAUUGGUGUUCGGAUAACUCAUAUUUAGGAUGCCUGAGAAAAAAGGUGCAACACAAAUUGUCGAGAUGACAUUGUAAGAUUCUCGGGAAUUGAACUAUGGAAGCGAGUUCCAAAACAAGAGUUCAUCAUUAAAACAAGGAGAGGUGACGAGGUGGUUGAUUGACUCUGUGACAAUCCAUUGAGAUUUCCAAAAAGAUGAAUUUCCACAAUUAUGUGAACAAGGAGAUAACAUUAGUCAGAUCAAAUGAUAUAAUGAUGUAUGCUCGAGGAAAACAUACACAAUUAAACAUUGGUUGAAAGGUGCGCCCGAAAUAUGGGUUGGGUUGCACGACCAAUGUCAGAAUGGUGAUUCAAUAAUCAAUAGUCCAAGAAUGAACGGCCGACCAUUAACUUCAAAGCAAUAGGGUUGCUAGAAGGACAGAAUCCAAACAGCACCGUUCGCUUGUUGGUAUCCCGGUUGGAAUCAACACGAGGACCAAGGAACGAACGGAGAUGGCAGGAAGUAUCACUUGUACCAAGAAUUCAUAAGAGGUGGUGAAAUUCUCACAACAUUCUUGACAUAAAAGAUGGUAAUACUCCAAGGUAAAGAAGAACAAUUGCUGGAUAGCAAGGAUCUCAAGGUAUAACAGAAAGCACGAACAAGUUUGUGUUGAACGAAAGGCAAUAAAGUGGUCGAUGAUAACACAAAUCAUCGAGAGCAAAGGGUGGUAUUUCUCAUCAAGAAUUCGAUAGAUAUCUUGGAAGAGCUCAGAAUGUUGAUGAUGUUCACGACACAUUUGUCGCGUGAUUUCAUGAAGAAGUAAUCGAUCGGCGACGAGAUCCAGUCAAAGGAAUGAUGAGGCGAAAGGUUAUUGGAACCAAGGGUAUGACACAAACUCGAAAUCAAGCUUGGUGUUCAAGGCGAAAUGAUACGACGAGGAAGAUCGGCAUAAGGUUAUCUCAUCGUCCAAAAUUGUGCUACGGGAAGAAGGACCAGGUAGCACAGUUUAAAAUUUUGGCACAAUAAUGAAUAUAGCCGAUCAGGCUAGGAAUGACGUGAUGGAGUAUUAAACUCCUCAACAACAAAGUACUAGAAGGUACUUAAUUGUAGUGCAGAUUCGAUUCACUAAUCGGCGUUCUCGAUUGACGACAACCCAGAACCCGUGGAGUGAUUAUGACGGGGAAAAGGUACUACUUCAUUAGAAAUUCAUAAGAUGAAGUGCAAUGGGUUGAUACCCUCGAGAUACCAGGGGGUAAUACUCGAAGGUAGAACAAAAUAGAGGUUGGGCAGGCAUACUGAUCUGCAGAAGACAAGUAAUUUAACUUGUCCGAGAAAUAGAAUCAAAGGAGAACAAUCAUGGUCGGAACCACGGUUGCAAAGGAUCAAUUCACAGAUACCAAAUGAUAUUUAUCAAGGAAAUAGUUAUUAUUACAAGAAGUUUCCAUGAUAGGAUCAACAUCAUGUCCAUGGGCAUGAACACAAAGUUCAAGGUCGACUCCCACUUCUCUAAUGCAUAACCUUUCAUUCACUUCUCGCCUUCGACGAAGUUGUAGUGUUGAAGUUUUAUCUGACAUGUCACUAGAAGAGUAUGACUCGUGAAAACUCUCGGGUGCAUACGGUUAGGGAAGGUAUAGGUUCAACCCAUAGGGGCAUCUUAGGAACAUAUACCACAAACUUCAGGCGCAAAUAACUCCAGCUCGGAAGUAGAGCAUGGUUCACAAAGCAGAAGAUAUAGAUUGUCAAAGACAUUUGUAUCAUGGGAAUAACUCACAAGAAUUUUUCAAUGUGAAGGAUACUAACGGAUAAUAACCCAGCAAUGGGCCUGGCGGUGCACAAUGGAGUUGAUGUGAGUAUCGGUACUCAAUAAGAGGAGGAAAGAAUGCAAAUGCAUUGGAUUAUAGAACAUCUGAAUAAUUCGAUGCUUUGAUAACAAAGGAAUUAUGAUUUCCAAAAUGAAGGAUCAGAAGCAGACGCUCUGAUCAAAGAUGGAUAGUCGAAUAGACAUAUGGGCGUACAAUCGAUGGCAAAUUGAUUGGUCAAGAACCAGCUCAUGUCCGGAGUGACGUCUGAGUUGAAGGGAAGAAUUCUAAUUGCUUGAUGAUUGCGAGCAUUCGCAAACAUAUCGAAUUAAUAUACUCACAAUAAUAGUGACAAAGGGUGCCAAUAAGAUUACCAGACGUAUGGGAUUAACCAUAAUGCAAGCAAGCAAGAAUUUCAAAAGCAAUAGGCUGCUCAGGAUUUUCGGAAGACCGAAUGGUAUUUCGAAGACUUUUGUGAAGCACAUGAAUCAACUGGGAUGAAUGGAUACUCGACAAGUGCGAGGAAUUAUCCGUAGGGGUAUUCAUGUGGUAAAGAACUGCAAGGCAGUAAGCUCAAAGGAUUCUCGGGACAACAGAGAGUAUUUCGGGGCAUCUUGUAAUAACAAGAUCAACAGGGAAUGAUUGUAUGAAUGGCAAGUGUAUGCAGUUUUCAUAGGGGUCGACGGUGGAAGGGAAUCGCAAAUGCAAUGGCACAAAGACUCAAGAGAACAUCGUAGAGUAACUUCGGAAUCUUCUAGUGCAGCAGGCGAUCAUCUGAAGUGAGGGGCUCUCCGGGAGAAAGUAUUUUCGAGAACCUAAAGUUAGUUUUGUUUUUAGAAAAAUCUUUAACCCGAAUAGAAGAGAGCUCAGAGUCCCAGAGUAUAGACGAGGAAUAAAAGAUCCUAAUGCCACCCAAUGGCGACGUGGGCCCGUAAGCCACACAGCCAUGUUAGUAAAAGUUUUGCAAUGACUAGACUCGACUUCGGCCAAGGAGUGUGGAAGGGGGAUUCCUACAGGCAGUUGGCUCUGAUACCAACUUGUGACGCCCCCGAUUCAAUCGUACACUAAUCAUACACGCAAACAUGUACGAUCCAGAUCAGGGACUCACGGGAAGAUAUCACAACACAACUCUAAAAUAAAAUAAGUCAUACAAGCAUCAUAAUACAAGCCGGGGGCCUCAAGGGCUCGAAUACAAGUGUUCGAUCAUAGACGAGUCAGCGGAAGCAACAAUAUCUGAGUACAGACAUAAGUUAAACAAGUUUGCCUUAAGAAGGCUAGCACAAACUGGGAUACAGAUUGAAAGAGGCGCACACCUCCUGCCUGGGAUCCUCCUAAACUACUCUUGGUCGUCGUCAGCGGCCUGAACGUAGUAGUAGGCACCUCCGGUGUAGUAGGAGUCGUCGUCGACGGUGGCGUCUGGCUCCUGGGCUCCAGCAUCUGGUUGUGACAACCAGGUAGAAGGGGAAGGGGGAAAGAGGGAGAAAAGCAAACCGUGAGUACUCAUCCAAAGUACUCGCAAGCAAGGAUCUACACUACAUAUGCAUGGGUACAUGUGUAAAGAGGCAAUAUCGGUGGACUGAACUGCAGAAUGCCAGAAUAAGAGGGGUAUAGCUAGUCCUGUCGAAGACUACGCUUCUGGCAGCCUCCAUCUUGCAGCAUGGAGAGGAGAGGAGAUGGUAAGUUCAUCAAGUAGCAUCGUAUAGCAUACUCCUACCCGGCGAUCCUCUCCUCGUCGCCCUGCUAGAGAGCGACCACCGGGUUGUAUCUGGCACUUGGAAGGGUGUGUUUUAUUAAGUAUCCAGUUCUAGUUGUCAUAAGGUCAAGGUACAACUCCAAGUCGUCCUGUUACCGAAGAUCACGGCGGUUCGAAUAGAUAAACUUCCCUGCAGGGGUACACCACAUAACCCAACACGCUCGAUCCCAUUUGGCCGGACACACUUUCCUGGGUCAUGCCCGGCCUCGGAAGAUCAACACGUCGCAGCCCUACCUAGGCACAACAGAGAGGUCAGCACGCCGGUCUAAAUCCUAUGCGCGCAGGGGUCUGGGCCCAUCGCCCGUUGCUCACCUGCACAUUGCGAACGCGGCCGGAAGCAGACCUAGCCUAGCAGGCGUUCCAGUCCAAUCCGGCGCGCGCCGCCCAGUCGCUGACGUCACGAAGGUUUCGGCUGAUACCAUGACGUUGAGUGCCCAUAACUGUUCCCGCGUAGUUGGUUAGUGCGUAUAGGCCAGUGGACAGACUCAGAUCAAAUACCAAGAUCUCGUUAAGCGUGUGAUUAUGAAGUAACCACGGACGCCGACCAGGGCCAGGCCCACCUCUCUCCUAGGUGGUCUCAACCUGCCCUGUCGCUCCGCCACAAAGAUUCACCCAGAGGGCCGUCGGGAAAAAGGUCCUUUCAGCCCCCAAUCCGUGAAUCACUCGCGGGUACUCCUCGAGCCGACCCGACUUUAGUCACCACAUGUAUCAUGUAUAAAGUAUAUAGUAUAUACCCGUGAUCACCUCCCUAGUGAUAACGGCCCGAUAGUAUAGCAUGGCAGACAGACAAGAAUGUAGAUCCAUAGAUGAAAUACUAGCAUCCUAUACUAAGCAUGUAGGAUUGCAGGUAAAGGUAACAACAGUAGUGGCAAAGACAGGCUAUGCAGCAGAAUAGGAUUAACGGAAAGCAGUAACAUGCUACACUAUUCUAAUGCAAGCAGUAUAGAGAAGAAUAGGCGAUAUCUGGUGAUCAAGGGGGGGCUUGCCUGGUUGCUCUGGCAAGAAGGAGGGAUCGUCGUCGACGUAGUCGUACUCAAGGGCAUCAGCGUCGGUCUCAAGGUCUACCGGAGAAGAAGAGGGGGAAGAAACAGUAAAUACAUUGCAAACAGAUGCAUGACGAUGCAUGACAAAGCAAACAACGGUGCUAGGUGUGCCCUAACGCGGUAGGAGGUGAUACAUGCGAAGGGGAAAACAUCCGGGAAAGUAUUCCCGGUGUUUCGUGUUUUCGGACAGAUGAACCGGAGGGGGAAAGUUGCGAGUUUACUACUCUAGGAAUGUGUGGCGGACGAACGGGCUGCGUAUCCGGAUUCGUCUCGUCGUUCUGAGCAACUUUCAUGUACAAAGUAUUUUCAUCUGAGCUACGAUUUAUUUUAUAUGAUUUUCUAAAGUUUUAAAUCGUUUUUAGAAUUUAUUUAAUUUAUUUAAUUCAACAUUAUCCACAAUAGUGUUUGUUGACGUCAGGAUGACGUCAGCAGCCAACAGAGGUGUUGACGGGUCAAACUGACAUGUGGGUCCCACUUGUCAUACUUUGUUUAGGUUAAUUAGGAUUUAGCUAAUCUAAUUACUGUUUAACUAACUAACUAGUUAUUAGAUUAAUUAAUCGGGUUUAAUUAAGUUAAUUAAGUUAAUUAAUUAAUUUAACUAUUAUUUAUUUAUUUAAAGUUUUAUUAUUUAUUUUUAUUUUUUUCUUUAAAAACGUUCUAGGGAUGGCCCACCAAUCAUUGGCACAAGGGGGCGGGGCCAGCUGUCAUAGGCCCCUGUUAUCUUAGCGGGUCGGGCGGGCGUAGCGGUAGUGGGGCGGAGCCAGGCGCUGGGCGCCCGAUUGGGGGAGCCCGGGCGCAGGCCGAUGGGGCACAGCGGGGGGCGCCGGAGAGGCGCCGGCUGGGACCGGAGAGGGCGCGGCCAAGUGCUGCGCAGAGCCGUGGGGCGGCAGACGGAGGUGGUGUCGCGGCGGGAGGGGGGCGGCAGCCNNNNNNNNNNNNNNNNNNNNNNNNNNNNNNNNNNNNNNNNNNNNNNNNNNNNNNNNNNNNNNNNNNNNNNNNNNNNNNNNNNNNNNNNNNNNNNNNNNNNNNNNNNNNNNNNNNNNNNNNNNNNNNNNNNNNNNNNNNNNNNNNNNNNNNNNNNNNNNNNNNNNNNNNNNNNNNNNNNNNNNNNNNNNNNNNNNNNNNNNNNNNNNNNNNNNNNNNNNNNNNNNNNNNNNNNNNNNNNNNNNNNNNNNNNNNNNNNNNNNNNNNNNNNNNNNNNNNNNNNNNNNNNNNNNNNNNNNNNNNNNNNNNNNNNNNNNNNNNNNNNNNNNNNNNNNNNNNNNNNNNNNNNNNNNNNNNNNNNNNNNNNNNNNNNNNNNNNNNNNNNNNNNNNNNNNNNNNNNNNNNNNNNNNNNNNNNNNNNNNNNNNNNNNNNNNNNNNNNNNNNNNNNNNNNNNNNNNNNNNNNNNNNNNNNNNNNNNNNNNNNNNNNNNNNNNNNNNNNNNNNNNNNNNNNNNNNNNNNNNNNNNNNNNNNNNNNNNNNNNNNNNNNNNNNNNNNNNNNNNNNNNNNNNNNNNNNNNNNNNNNNNNNNNNNNNNNNNNNNNNNNNNNNNNNNNNNNNNNNNNNNNNNNNNNNNNNNNNNNNNNNNNNNNNNNNNNNNNNNNNNNNNNNNNNNNNNNNNNNNNNNNNNNNNNNNNNNNNNNNNNNNNNNNNNNNNNNNNNNNNNNNNNNNNNGUCAGGCAGCGUCCAGAUCGAGCGGGGGCGCAUGAGCCCCGAUCCGAUCUGGAUCGGGGGGAAAAGGGAGAGAGCGCGUGGGGGGGAGUGGUGGCGGCUAGGGUUGGACCAGGGGGUCGGGGUGACCUAGUAGAACGCCGGGGUGGGCCGGCCUAGUCGGCCUGAUUGGCCCAGAGGCCAGCUGGGCCGUGGCCCAGAGGGGGGUUCUCCUCUUAUUUUAUUUUUUGUUUCUGUUUUGUAUUUUCUUUUAUUUAUUUUUCUUUUUCUGUUUUAUUUUACUUUUAAUUUCUUUAGUUUUGUAAAAUAUGACAAUAGCUCCUAAAUUAAUGUCUCUGAAUAACCCACGGCCUUAAAAAGUUUGGUGACUACAUAAACUAGUUUAACAUUUGUUUAUUAAUUUAAAAGCAUUCAAAUAAUUGUUUUGCUACUGUUUUAUUUAGUUAAGUGCAUUUAAACUUUUUGUAAAGACUUGGUUUAUCCACAAAUAUUACUUAUGAAUUAUUUGGCAGAAACCGAACAUUUUUGUUUUAAUGUUUGAAAAUUUUUGUUGUAUGCCAUAUUUGGAAUUUGAAUUUUGAAUCGGUUUUUGAACUAACAAGGGAUUAGCAACAGUAACGGAGGUGACGUGGCAUCAUUAGCAGAGUUUUUCUGUAGCCUAAUUAUCUGGGCUUCACAAAAACGGCCUCCUUCUCCCUCGUGAAAUACCUGGCAUCGUCAGAAGUUGAUGGUCCCUAAGGAUUAACUGCAUGCAUAUGCUGAUGUCAUCCCACUUUAUUUCGUCUCAUUUUUUCAAAAAGCUAUAACUUUUGAACCGAGCAUCAGAACGAAGAUCCUUUUUCACCAUUAGGUUUAUCGCGACGAGAUCUUCAAAACUAGAUCUCAUAUGAAUACGUUUCGAUGAAGUUUUUUUAAAGAAACUUUGGUUCUAGUUGAGGCAACUUUAUUUCUAAACAGAGGCAACUUUGUUGCACCAUGUGUAGUAGUCAAUUUUACCUAGCAAGUUAUCGUAGAAAACAUAGAAACCAUGCCGGACAAAUUUUCAUCAUAUGUAGGCAACUGAACAUCAUGCGUAAGCAACUUUGGUAUCACAUGGAGGCAACUUUUGUCAUGAAGGUGCAUUCAACAUAUAUUAUGCAUACACUGUCCUAUUAUCGCCUAUUCAUAUUUUGUAAAAGGAAAUCAAACAUUUCUCCCAGUUUUCUAUCAUUGUUAUGAAGUUGCCUAUUACCAAAAACCCAGGGGGUCUAGUCCAGGUGCAUGGCAUUUUUGUUUGAAUCAAUGCGAUAAUUUUUGCAGUUAAUAGAUUGGCAAUUAUGUGAAUUAUGGGGGACAAAGCAAUCACUUGGAUUUGGUAGAAGAGUUUCAUCGAGUAGUAAUGAGGUUGCUUGGUUUGGUAUGGGGACAAAGCAAUCGCUUGGAUUUGCUAGAAGAGUUGCAUUGUGUCAUAAUGCAGUUGCUUGGUUUGGUUAGGAUAGUUGCUUGGUUUUUACUUGGAAAGUUUUGCACGAUGUUUUUAGUAAUGUAGUUGCUUGGAUUUGCUAGGACAGUUGCUUGGUUUUGUAUGGACAAUUGCUUGGUUUUGUUAGGCUUUUGUUAGAAUAGGCAACUAAUUUGCAAAGUUAGGCAAUUGAGUAGAAAUGGUAGGCAACUAUUUACCAAUAGCAAGCAACUGGGCGUCAAUGGUAGACAAUUUCAUAGUACUUGUAGGCAACUUAGCAUCAACCAUAGGAAACUGACAUUCAACGAUAGGAAAGCAAGCGACCAUGAAUAGGCAAGUUGGGAUAAUGUUUUUUCUUAGCAAAUUCAUAGUACUAAAGGUGCCUCAUGUUUCAUCGGAUUUUCUCAUUUUUACACAAAACAACAUCAUAGAAGUCCUACUAAGCCAAAGAAGAAGUUGUUUCCUAUAGAACUAAAGUUGCCUCCAUUACACCCAAAGUUGCCCACCCAAAAAAGAUCAACAUAACCUAUCCAUAUGGGAUCUAAAUUUGAAGAACUCGUCGUGAGAAACCCAACGGUGAAAACGGUUUUGAAGUUUGACGUCCGAAUCAGAAGUUAAGGCUUUUCAAAAAAUUUGAAACCCCAAAUUGAUGCACAUGUGACAAGGUCUUGGCUGAUUUAUUUACUAACAUCCUAAAAUCACGUGGGCUCAAGGAAGGUGGUGUGGGGGGGGGGGGCAGGGUCUUUUCUUCUUUUGGAAGGCACAUGGGGGACCAACUGCACUUUUUAUGAUGACCUUCCGUUUGUGGUGUAGGUCUCAAUCACACCAACGGGCGCCCAGGCUAUAAAAAACAUAUAAUUUGAAAGAACAAGCAUUUGGAAAAAGUACACAAAUUUGAAAAGUUUCAUUGAGUUUUUUUUAAGUUCACAUGUUUGAGAAAAGUUCAUUAAUUUUGAGAAAAAAAGGUUCAUCGAUUUUGCAAAAGGUCAAUUUUGAAAUAAAAAACUUCACAAAUUCAAAAAAUCUCAUAAGUUUGAAAAAAAGUUCAUCAAGUUUGUAAAAAAGACCACAAAUUUUGAAAAUUUUCUUUGAUGUUGAAAAAAAGUACAAUGAUAUUGAAAAAAAGUUCAUGAAAUUAGAAAAUUCAAGAAUUUGAACAAGAGAUCACAAUUUUGAAAAAAUGGUUGCGAAAUUGAAAAAAGGUGACACAUUUCGUAAAAGAGAAAGGAAAAGAAAAAUUAAAAGGAAAAAACGAGCAAGACCGUUCUGAAAAAUGAGAAAAAUGGCACGAAAGAAAAAGAAUAAGGAAGAAAUGAGUUAAAAAUAUGUAACUAAUCAUGUAAAAUGAGGGUGGUUGGUUGAUUACUGCAACAUACUUUGAACCUUGAAGUCGCCGGUUUGAAUCCCAAAUACCAUACGUGCAUAAUUUUUCGCGGGUUAAAAUCAGAAGGAAAAGAGAUAGAUGACUUGCAAGAGGGGUUGUGCACCCGUUUGCUAAAUGUACUACAAUUGGCGCCUGAAGCACCAAAUAGGAAAUGUCGGCACCUUCAGCACCACGUUGCGAACCUAGCACCCACAACGUCGCUUGCAUGGGCCUGGCCCAGUAUCGCUCGCUAGCUCCCGCCCUCUUGCUCGCUAGCCACCUACUCGAUCAUUGACUCCCGCUCGAUCACUUGUUUUUUCUCUGCUAAAAAAUUACAACAAUUUUUAUUGAUUUUCUUAGAAAAAAGAAACCUACCGGUUUGCUACAAUUUGUACUGUUGUACUUAGAAAAAAAGGCUGGGUUUUGAGUUCAAGAUUUGAAAAUAAAAUCAUGAACUUACAAAAUAUUCGUCAACGUUUGAAAUGAAAUUUCAAUGAUUUUGAUGAAAAGUUCAACCAUUUUGAAAAAAGUUCAUAGAUUUUGAAGAAAAGUUCACAAAUUUGAAGAAUGUUCAUUGAUUUUCAAGAGAAGUUCAUAAAUUUGGAAAAAGUACAUCGAUUUUACAAAAAGUUUACAAUUUUGACAAAACUUCAUCUAUUUAAGAAAAACAUGAAUUAGAAAAAAUGUUCACAGAUUUUUGAAAAAAAUCACCAAUUUUGAAGAAAAAGUUCACGAGUUUGAAAGUUCGUAAUUUUAAAAAAAAACAUGAAUUCAGAACAACUUCACGCAUAUAUAAUAAUAAUAGAGAAAAUAAAAAGGGAAAAGAAGAAAAGUGAAGAAACCCGUUCCAAAAAAGAGAAAAAAUGGAACCGGAAAGAAAUAAGAUAAGAAGAAGGAAGAAAGAAGAAAAAACAGAAAAAGAUGAAAGAAAUAAGAUGAGGUGAGUGUUGGAAAUAUGCCCUAGAGGCAAUAAUAAAUUGGUUAUUAUCAUAUUUCCUUGUUCAUGAUAAAGUUUUAUUAUUCAUGCUAGAAUUGUAUUGACCGAAAACGUAAAUACAUGUGUGAAUACAUAAACAAAUACUAUGUCCCUAGUGAGUCUCUACUAGACUAGCUCGUUGAUCAAAGAUAGUUAAGGUUUCCUAACUAUAGACAUGAGUUAUAAUUUGAUAACAGGAUCACAUCAUUAGAAGAAUGAUGUGAUGGACAAUACCCAACCGUAAGCUUAGUAGUUGAUCGUAUCCUUUUUUGUUAAGGUUUCUUCAUGUCAAGUAUCUAUUUCUAAGACCAUGAGAUCGUGCAACUCCAUCACACCGGAGGAAUACUUAGUGUAUAUCCAACCAUCACUUCGUAACUGGGUGAUCAUAAAGGUGUUCUACAGGUAUCACCAAAGGUGUUUGUUGGGUUGGCACGGAUCGAGACUGGAAUUUGUCACUCCGUAUGAAGGAGAGAUAUCUCUGGGCCCUAUGAUAUGUCUCAACGUAUCUAUAAUUUUUAUUGUUCCAUGCUAUUAUAUUAUCUGUUUUGGAUGUUUUAUAUGCAUUAAUAUGCUAUUUUAUAUUAUUUUUGGGACUAACCUAUUAACCUAGAGCCUAGUGCCAGUUCCUGUUUUUUUUCCUGUUUUAGAGUUUCGUAGAAAAGGAAUACCAAACGGAGUCCGAAUGAAAUAAAACCUUCGCGAUGAUUUUUCUUGGACCAGAAGACACCCAGGAGACUUGGAGAUGAAGUUGGAGGAGACACAGGGCGGCCACAAGGGUGGAGAGCGUACCCAGGGGGUAGGGCACGCCCCCUGUCUUGUGGGCCCCUCGUGCACCUCCUUACCAAAUUCUUUCGCAUAUAUAUUCCCAAACCACGAGAGGCAUGCACGAAAACACUUUUCCACCGCCACAACCUUCUUUACCCGUGAGAUCCCAUCUAGGGACCUUUUCCGGCACCCUGCCGGAGGGGGGUACGAUAACGGAGGGCUUCUACAUCAACUCUAUUGCCCUUUCGAUAAAGCGUGAGUAGUUUACCACACACCUACGGGUCCAUAGAUAGUAACUAGGGGCUUCUUCUCUCUCUUUGAUUCUCAACUAGAUGACCCGUUGCGCCCAUGGCGCAAAGGUCGAGAUCAAGCUAAUUAUUGAAAGAGUAUGCACCAAAAUAUGUAGACACGGAAGGAAACAUAUGAAAAUAAAGUACGGAUUGAUGAUAGUCAUACAGACAUGAUUGUCAUUUUUUUUACAUAAAAUCCAAAAUGAUGUCAAAUGUAAAAGUCUCGAUAGGUACUUGUAGUAAUACCAAGUUACGUAGCAAAGAACUAUUGUGAUAUGCUUAGAUUGAAUAGACGAUCAUGCAGAGGCCCUUAGACAUGCACUUGAAGACGAAAGCAUAUGCACACCCUUUCUUCAUGUUUGCCUUAUGGAAGAAGUUGCUCCAGUUCUUUGUGAGUGUAGCCCUGUUGUCAACGCCCUUGAUAAAGCGGGCCAUGACUGGUGGUCAUGUCUCCUGUACUGAUUGGUAGCUCAUCAUGAUCGGCAUCCAUGUGUGGGAAGAGGCUUCUCUUAGAAAAGUGUGUGCUAAAGUACUGCAAAUGAGGAUAAAGGUUAUUCAGUAUAUGGUUUGUCGGCAUGUUCUUGUAGGAAACCAAGAAUGCAUUUGUUUAAGAUUACCAUUCUUUUGUCGUCAGUAGCAAAUGUUUCUGUCAUGUGGCAUACGUAGUAAUGGUAAGGUGUUUUUUUGUCUUUGUGAUAUUUCGCAGAGUGCAAACAUUUUUGCUAUACAACUUAAAUGUAUUUUCCCACACACAGUGGGCAGCAAACUCAUCUAAGUAGUGCUCAUCGGGCUUGCCUGACAAUUUACACAGAACUAUAGUAUUUAGUAUUUGUCGGAGGAGUUGCUGCAAACAGGAAAGUAAUAAGAGUUUUUACCGCGAGUAAUGUAUUUUCCAGCUUUCAAAUGGAUAUUUUCCCUUUGAACUUUGGGACUUACCCGGCCUUGCGUGGGCGAUGAAUAUAUUCUAGGGGCUGCUUGUGCUUGCGGCAGGGCGGCGGUUCUAUAAAUGACAAGUAAGAGCGGUAUUAAGCUGGGGUGGAAUGAUGUGAAUUAUCUAGAAUUGGAAUAACACAGUUACCAUAGCGAUAACUAUUGGCAUGAGCCUGAGUCAUAUGAUUGAUGCCAACAUCUUGGUACCGUCGAGUUCCUCCUGUUUGACUGGGAGCAUCCACAAACAAGCAGUAAGAUUAUGAAGUUUAUCUAAUUGUGUGUGGCUUUAUCUAGGAGUUCUGACAACGUUUGGUGGUCCUGAAAUCUCUAUGUAAUUAUGUUUGGGAUGUUGUGUACUUCUGAUGAACUUUUAUAAUAGAUCUGAUUUCUUUUGGUAAAGAAAGUUCAUAUGGGUAGGAACUCCCUCGUUCAAUUAAGCGGUACGAUUCUGACUGGAUCGCCACACUUGUUUCUGUGAAAAAAAACUCCCUGAGAAUAUAGAACCUCAAAAUGUGUUUGCUUGGUGACGCCCGCUGUUUAAGGGUGGACGCGUUGUGGGCCACAACGUUAUGCAUGUCGGGUGUGUGUGGGUUUCGCUGUGUGCAAACCUAGCCAAAUGGACCGGCCCGACCCAGCACGACCCGGCCUGGGUUAAAAGGGUCAGGCACGGCACGACCCGGUCAGGCACGCUAGUCUUGGCUUCCCUAAGAAAAAGUACUCGGGCCGUGCCCUCCCUAGCCUAGGCUCGGCUCCUCGCUAAACGGGCUGGCAUGACGGCCCGUUUGGCACGCCGACAUAAGAGCAAGUACAAUAAGGUGACAUAAGCAGACUAUAAGGACUAAAAUAUUAUAUAUUUGUUUAACUGGAGGCGAGAGAAGAGAAGCGGGUUGUUGAUUAGUAGUCAAUUGCAACACAAGACUCAAGCCACUAUGUGAGGUUGUAUGGUGUAUCAACUAUUAAUAAUGUACUCCGUCUCUUUCUAAAUGUAAGUUUUUGUAGAGAUUUCAUGAUGAAUUACAUACGGAUGUAUAUAAACAUAGUUUAGAGUGUAGAUUCACCCAUUUUGCUUCAUGGACUUGUAUUUAGAAACGAAGGGAGUAGUACACAUUUAAAAUUUAUUAUUGUACGUAUCGCCUUAUAGCCGAUUGUUGUAUUAUUAACUAUACUACCAUCCCACUAAAAAAUCACGACAACCAUGGUCUAGAAAAAGGCACGUCCGCCCGUGACCAUGCGGAGGCAGGUAGAGCUGUAGUGCGCUCGUCGCCUUGUGGCCGCAAGGACCCAGGACGCACAUUGAUGCAUGCAGCGUGUCGGGUGUGUGUGCGCGUGUCCUCUCAGCAAGCUUUAAUCUCCAGCUGGCCGCUGGUCCAAGCCACGUGUCGUGUGUGUAUGGGUUUCCCUGUGAGCGUGUGUUCUCAACGGGUUAGCGACUCGGCGCAGCUCUGAAGAGUGGAGAUUGGCGAUUUGGGGUGCUGGGUACGCCUCAGUUCCAAGCUGUGGCUGGAGGAUCCCCGCCGUCGUGUUGUUCCAGCUGUCGGUGCUACUUCCGCGGCUGCUCCUUGGGCGUUGCUUCGCCGUCCACACGAACUGCGCCGUUGCUGUUCUGGUCAGCCAUCUCGCCCUGCGUCUGCUCAGCCAGCUGCUUCGCCCUACGUGUGAUCUGGUUUGUAUUGUUUCCUCUGGUAUUAGAUUUGUUGUUUGUUGUCGUGGGCUAUGUUCGGUACGGUGUUUCUUGAGCAACGAUGUCGUUGGAUUAGGCGCUGGUUUUUUAUGGACGCCGCUUUUGUGCUACAUUUGUUGUGGGGGGCGCCAUGCACCGUGGAGGAGAAUGGCAUAUUGUUGUUGGCUGGAGCUUCCCCUCAAGUUUAACUUACUGCUUUAGUUACCGACUUUGACAGAAGUAGAUAGGGUCGAUGCACCCACCGCACAGAGCUCAAAGAAGCACGUCAAUCCAGCAAUACAUGGCAUCGGCCAGACGUCAACCAACCACGCAGCCAUCAUUGUCUUACCUGCUCUAAGCACGCACUUAACGUUGUUUCAGAUGGAAUACAUUCAACAUACAUGGUGGAAGAGAGUUGCCCCCAGGCACCCCAGUACUGAACCACGACGUCCACAAUAAUGAGAUGGAGAUCGUCGUCCCAGGGGUAAUCAAUUUAAACUUGGCUAACAUCAGUCACCUACAUUACCAUGAUCUCACCAGUUGCUAGAUCCAGUAUACUGACAGUGAUUCACGAACCAUAUAGUCAUUAAACUGCAUGCAAUUCCUGUUUUAAGAAUACUUGCCCAAAUAAUGGCUGCAUUGUCACCUCGGUCACUUUAAAAUAUGGGCUCCACAUUUCACCUUCCCCUCACACCACAUAUAUUUACACGAUGCAAUAAAAGAUUGUAUGUCAAUCUCAUGCCUUGUUUUGAAAUCGAUUAAGUAAAAAAUGGUACCCUUAUGUGUGCACUUGCCAGAGAGGUGCAUUCAAUACUUCCCUACUUGAGGGGAUCGCAUAUACUAAAUUAAAAUGCAGUGAUCACAUCACAAAUUAUAAAUUGUUUUCUUAAUUUACACACACCGUACACCUGCUUUCCCAAAUCGGCAUUACCAUAUCACCAUAUAUCCAACCUUUAGGCGCAACAGGCAACCUACAAUUGGAGUGAUGGUUUAGUAAGAAAGAACAUUUAGCACAAAGAAAGAUGAAUUUUGAAAGAAAAAAACUUAGAAAAAAUUGAUGCUCGACUCACUACUAAUACCAUCUAAUAAUAUGCAAGAUAGUAAUAAGAGGUCAAGCCAAUCAAGUGAAAGACGUUUGAACUGGAAUUAGACACAUUGUACAUCAUCAAUCAUUAGGAGCUGGACCCCAUAGAAUCUUUUCGGGUUCAGUUGUAUGAUUAGAAUUUGGCUUCAAACUAACUAAACUAAAGAGUUUUUUUUUCUUGUCCACCCUUCAGUUGCCAAAUUAUGAUUCAUAAAGUUAUAGCGCAUCUUGGAAAUGUUAUAAUAGUUUUGGUUACACGGUUCAUGAUAUACCUAUGGAUAUUAUACUGACUGAUAGUCCAUGGUUCAUUUGAGCUCACUUUGGCGCGAAUGCAGUGAUGAAGGUUCGACAUGCAGUUUCGGAUUUCCCUUCUCAUUCAGUGCAGCUUCCCUCAUGAUGUAUGCCACAUGCUAAUAUGAACUUUCUCAUUGUAUAUAAAUUUUCAUGAGAGAAAAAGAGAAAAGAUGCUCCAGUUUUCCUUGCAGCUCAAUUUUCACACCCUUCCCAGGUUAAUAUUCACUAUUUUCUUUGGACCAUCUUUAUGCUGCCUUUUCUCUGUACACACCUCAUCAAAACUGAACAAAGAGGCAUCACAUAGGUUUAGAUGGCGCGUGUGAACAUGGUUUAAGAUAUGAUGUUUCUUGGAGAGAGCAAACUUACCUUUUCCAUUUCAUGGUUUAUUAACUAAAAUAUUGAUCGACGGCACAUUCUGAUGCUUCAGCUUUGUUUUUGCCUUCUUGUCACUUAAUUAGGCACUAUAGUAAGAAAGCAUACUGAAUGAGACUCGAAGGAAUUUUGAUGUCAACUUGUAAUUAGCAAAACUUAAAAUGAUCUCUUUAAACAAGUAUCAGAUUAAAGAAACCAAUAUAGAACCAUAUUAAAUAGGGACUGAGCUUAGCUGGAAGGUGAGAAAGAAAUUACAAUUGCUAUUGGUGCAACAUUACAAAAUUUAGCUUAGCUAUCUAUCAGAUUUCUUGACUCAAAUUCCAGCUAGCAAAGAAGAAGAAUGAAUCCCCAGAAAAACCAUGCUAAACGAAAUAGAGACUCAUCGAUUGACCUCAAUCACAUUAUUUGUUAAAUAGAGACUGAGCAAAGAGGGAAGGUCAGAAAGAAAUUACAAUUGCUAUUGGUGCAACAAUACAAAUUUUAGCUUAGCUAUCUAUCAGAUUUCUUGACGCAAAUUCUAGCAAGCAAAGACGAAGAUUGAAUCCCCAAAAAUCCAUGCUAAACCAAAUAGAGACUCAUUGAUUUACCUCAAUUAAAUUGUUUAUAAAACAUUGUACAUGAACUUGUUUUAAAUACAUGACAAAAUCUAGCUGAGCUAAACCUUCCUGGAAUCUUAUGUGGAUUUUUAGAGUUUAGACCAAGGAGAAAUGGGGAAAUAAUUCAUGAUAGAGGGUAGUGCAUGCAGGAGCCUCCGAAUAGCGGGUAGCCUAGCGAGGUUUGUAGGAAAAAGGUGGCUUUUGUCUCAUCAGUGAGUUUGUUGCCCAAUGCCCGUGCUACUGAUAUAAUGUCGUUCAUGACAUACCUCGCCCAGUUCCAAUUUGGGAUGUCAUCUAAAUUUUCAAGAGCCACAAAAUAUGCUGGAAGAAUAACUACAGAUCAAAUGGACCUCAAACUUUAUCUCACCGUGAACACCACAUAAAUCACAUUCUAACAUGGAGGCCUCAGCCAUCGCCAAGGCAUCUCAUGGAACAUGGGGGAAACUCCAAAUCGAACAGAGCAACACAAAAAUAGGAAUCAGGCAUGAGGAAAGGGGAAUAAGCUAACCUGGGUAAUGGGAUCAGCAGGUCGAGGAGGGUGCCACCGUGCCAGCGGCCUCCACAAGGAUAAUCUUGCACACGAUGUCGCCUCAAGCAAUGGAUCGCAACCACCAGAACCGAAGCACUUGUUGUUCAUGGUUUCAGUUAUGAGAUAUCCCGUCAACUGAGGUACAAAUCACAAAUAGGUCAGCUCACGAGCUAAAGAAUAUAAUCUUAUCCAAGAAAAGACAAAAUAGUCCAGAGCAGCAAAGCUUUAUUAAGUUCUUUACUAAGAAAGCGAACUUAGUAAUUACAGCCCAAACAGAGAAUAAAUGGUUUAGAACAGGCAUAAAUCUGAUCCAUCUUCCAUCAUCAAUAAUAAAGAUAGGAAAUCUUGAAAUCCUUGAUCCAAACAUCAGAAGUCACAAAAGUCGAAGCAAACAGUGAACUGAAAAUUACUCCGAAAAAAACUUUUAUUUUGUUGACUCUAGACGAAGCCCAUGCUUUGUUGUCCUGGCAAUACAACAAAUUACUGGCCCAAGCUUGAAGUACUAACAAGAACGAAUCCCUUUCGUUAUUAAUUCAUUCAAUGAACAGCAGAGAAAAUGGAUGCUUGUGCAGGCAUCGUAAUGAAUGGUACUUGAUUUAGAGAAAUAACUAUGCUAAUAUAUGACUUCGCUAACUAAUCAAUCUGCUGCAAUCACAGUUGGUGCAUAACACUAAACGAGCACUUGUGAUCAGGGCAACGGUUAUAGAUAAGUAAAGAGAAAUUACAAAACAAGGUAUGACGAGACUACCAAAUCAGCCUGAGAAAGUAGAAAGUAGGAUCAACGGAAACAUAACAAAGGAAACAGAAUAAUGAAUAUUUAGUGGAGAUGAGCUAGUUGAACCUACAGGCCAGAGGAAGAGCUCACCGGAAGGUUAGGCCAGCGAAUUUGGGACCGAUCCCUAGAAGGAAGAAGCGAAGAACUAAAGAACACAUCUUGUUCACGCCUAACUAUGUUGUGCAAUUGUGCCGAUGGCCUCGUCGUCUAAGGCAAAUACAUGUCUCCAUCAUAAAUCAAAAGCGUGAACUGGGAGGACUUCUGCAAUUGCUAAGCGAAUCAUGCAUACAACCAUGACAGUGGCUACAAAUUUGAGUUUCUUCACCUCCCGAUGCAAUUACAACAUAUGAUUAUGCACAUAUAUAAUAGUAGUAUGAUGGAUUAACUACCAUCAAGAAGAGAACAUAAACUGACAGAUUUUCCGGUAAAAAAAACUGGCUGCAUUAAUGUUUACCUUUCCCACUGCAUAACCAAAUGUCAUUAACUAUCAAAUUAGUCGCAAAUAAGCCAAAUAUCACCAACGGGUUGCUACCUUGAUGCUUUAUAUUUCUUCUAUGUGUCUUGCUGUCCCCUUCAAGUAACUGACGCGCCCGGUCGAUCCCAAAGGUUGCUAUUUCCUUGUGGAGUUUCUUAUUGACAUAGAUCUGAACAAAAAUGGAGGGACCAAAUAAAUUUCAGAUUUAGGAGUCAGGAACUAACAGUUGUAAAUCCACACCAAUGAACACAAAUACAACCUGAUUAUGUGGCAGACCUUUAACAGGAAAGGUAAAAUCUGUAGCAUAGUUUGCAACUUAAAAUUAUAGGUCACUAAAGUGCAUGCCACAACAUAAGCAAAAUUCAUCUAACAAACCUCGAGCUUGUGUACGACUGUCUUAUUAAGCACAUCAUGCUGACAUGCAAACUCGUGAUUGGAAAAAAGAAGUUACUCUAGCGAAAACUGGUGCUAAGCAGUAAUGGGAGCUAGAGGGAGCACCGCUUCUGAACAUUCUAAAACAAUGAAAAGGCGUGCUUACAUCUAUGAAGCUAAAAAUAGUACACCGAACCAUAUUGAUUGAAUACGGGUAACAACGGAAAAACAAUUAAUUGGAGUGCAGAAUCUGCAUAGAAUAGAACCGGAACACAUCAAUCUAGGCAUCUAACUAGCUUCUGCCAUCAGGGUUGCUUGCUAAUUGCAACAAUAUUCAUAACUGAAGAUUCAAUGAGAACUACCAAGGGAUAAAAAAAGGGAACUGAAUCUGUUCACUCAAUGUGUGCAUGACCUGCAAUGUCCUCACAUAUGAGUAAUUCAUCAAAGAAACCAUAAAAAAUUCAUCAAACAAAAAACACAAAUGGAAGGCAAGCUUACCUGAAUGGGGAUUGCCCGUGACCUGGAUCUCGUCGUUCGCGUGCUGGUGAUCUGCUACUAUUUGAACAACAACUCUGCCCGCUGAUGCUGUCCAAACUGUGCAAAUUUAUCCAUACUAUCCCUGCAAUUGUUAAGAUCAAAAUCAGCAUCUUUUACAACUAAUGCAGAGUAUGAAUUUCUCGGCAGACAAAAAAGGCUUUGUAGAUUCAGUAUAGUUGACACAAACAAAAUGCAGUACCUGCUUUCCUCAAGAACCCGUGUCUGAAAGAUGUGGAGAGAAAAUUGCAAAAUAUGAGCAUUAGUACUUCUUAGGUAUCACAGAAAUUCAAUGCAACUUCAACAAGACCAGCGCUUGCUUUUCACACUAUUGAAAAUUCACGUCUUCCAUAUUUGAUCCACCUUUCCGCUGGGCAAAACAACAAAUAUGUGGGGGCAAAAUAUCUAUUUAUGCUCAGAAAAGAAAUUACCAAAUAUCCGGCCACGAGCGCGUGUGUGAGAGGACCGAGGAGAGAGUGUGCGUGACAGCGAGAGAGGAUGAAGGCAAGGACGUGGGGGCUGAUCUCUCGGGUGGAUGGACGGCAGCGCGAAAGCCGGACGGAGCUGGCCGUCUCUGCAGCCCACGCUCCUCUUGCCGACGAUGGCGCCGUGGACCACCGCUGCGACUCAAGCUCCUCCCGGGGUCGCUGCUGCACGCGUGGAGAUGGAGGCGGGGUGCAGCCUUCCGUGCAUCGCGCACGAGCCCCAGCCUCCUCGCAGCUCCCGAUCCAGGAACGGGUCGAGCCGCCGCCAACCGUCAGAUCGAGCCCGACCUCGCCGGCGCAGGCCGACGCCGGCCGGUGACCCUCUCCCGUCAGCCGCCACACCUCACUCUCCUCUUCCCUCUCUCUUUCUCCCUCCUCUCCUUCCUUCUCUCUCUCUCAUCUUCUCUCUCUGCCGGGGUUCGUGCGGGAGGAGGGGAUUGGGAAGGCGGCGCAAAGGAGAGGGAGGAAGGAGAGGAGGCAGUGCGGAUAUUUUCUAGGGCUCGGCUCACUCCACCCAGAACGAGGUACACCUUAGUCAUGAUAAAAAGCAACUGAUUACUGGGCCCAUGGCUCAAGAGGCCCAAUUCGACAGCCACUUCCAAACAAAACAUGUAUGUACAAAAGAACGAACGGUUGACCUCAUGCCAGCGGCCAAAACAGAGCUACAGAAAAAGAAUCGAAGGGCCCAACGAGCGUGGCGCGCGCGGAUGAUGCCUCAGAAUGGCGGGUUGUCUACCAAGAUUUAUAUGUUCAAUACCAUGUUCUCCUCGAUGUUCAUGGAGAUCUAUUCGAUGUAAUACUUUUUUGCGGUGUAUUUGCCGAGAUCCGAUGAAUUGUGGAUUUGUGAUUAGUUUAUCUAUGAAUAUUAUUUGAAUCUUCUCUGUUUUUUAUGCAUGAUUUGAUAUCUUUGUAAUUCUCUUCGAACUAUCGGUUUGGUUUGGCCAACUAGAUUGGUUUUUCUUGCAAUGGGGGAAGUGCUUAGCUUUUGGUUCAAUCUUGCGGUGUCCUUUCCCAAUGACAGCAAGGGCAGCAAGGCACGUAUUGUAUUGUUGCCAUCGAGCAUAAAAAGAUGGUCAAUGAAUAUUAUUUGAAUCUUCUCUGAUUUUUUAUGCAUGAUUUGAUAUCUUUGUAAUUCUCUUCGAACUAUCGGUUUGGUUUGGCCAACUAGAUUGGUUUUUCUUGCAAUGGGGGAAGUGCUUAGCUUUUGGUUCAAUCUUGCGGUGUCCUUUCCCAAUAACAGCAAGGGCAGCAAGGCACGUAUUGUAUUGUUGCCAUCGAGCAUAAAAAGAUGGGGUUUUCAUCAUAUAGCUUGAGUUAAUUCCUCUAUAUCAUGCCAUCUUACUUAAUGUGUUACUUCGUUCUUUAUGAACUUAAUACUCUAUAUGCAUGUUGGAUAGCGGUCGAUGUGUGGACUAAUAGUAAUAGAUGCAGAAUUGUUUCGAUCUACUUGACACGGACGUGAUGCCUAUAUUCAUGACCAUUGCCUUAGAUAUCAUUAUAACUUUGCGCUUUUCUAUCAAUUGUUCGGCAGUAAUUUGUUCACCCACCGUAUUAUUUUCUAUCUUGAGAGAAGCCUCUAGUGAAACCUAUGGCCCCCGGAUCUAUUUUCCAUCAUAUAAGUUUCCGAUCUACUAUUUUGCAAUCUUUUACUUUCCGAUCUAUAAACCAAAAAAUACCAAAACUAUUUACUUUAUCGUUUAUCUAUCUCUAUCAGAUCUCACUUUUGCAAGUAACCGUGAAGGGAUUGACAACCCCUUUAUCGCGUUGGGUGCAAGUUGUUUGAUUGUUUGUGCAGGUAUUCGGUGAUUUGUUCGUUGUCUACUACUGGAUUGAUACCUUGGUUCUCAAACUGAGGGAAAUACUUAUCUCUACUAUGCUGCAUCACUCUUUCCUCUUCAGGGAACAAACAACGCAAGCUCAAGAAGUAGCACCCCUCUUAGUAAUACAACAUCGUAAAGAGCUUGCAAGCAAUGUGGCUAAUGAGUUAGUCACGAUAUCUUGUAUUACGGAACGAGUUAAGAGACUUGCCGGUAACGAGAUUGUACUAGGUAUGGAGAUACCGACGAUCGAAUCUCGGGCAAGUAACAUAUCGCCGAACAAAGGGAAUUGCAUACAACAUUAACCGAAUCCUUGACAUCGUGGUUCAACCGAUAAAAGAUCUUCGUGGAAUAUGUAUGAAUCGAUAUGUGCAUCCAGGUCCUGCUAUUGGUUAUUGACCGGAGAGAGGUCUCGGUCAUAACUACACAAUUCCCGAACCCGCAGGGUCGCACGCUUAACGUUCGUUGAUGCUAGAGUAGUAUUGGGAUAUUUGAUGAUUGGUAACCGACUGUUGUUUGGAGUCCCGGAUGAGAUCCGGGGCGUCAUGAGGAGUCUCGGAAUGGUCGAGAGGUAAAGAUUUAUAUAUGGAAAGUCAUAUUUUGUUUUCCGGAAUUAGGUGCAGUUUUGUCGGCAUUGUAACGGGAAGCUUCCAGAAGGUUCCGUAGGAUUCCGGAGGGGUCCGGAAGUCCACAAAUGGGUCCACCAUGUUCCAAGGGCUGGCAUGGGCUGAGGGGAGGUGCCCUGGCCUUAUUGGGCUAGGCGCACCAAGUCCUCGAAAGCCCGUGUGGCUAGAAAAGGGAAAAAAGGGGAGUCCUAGUAGGAAUCGGACCGGACUUGGAGUCCAAGUCCUCUCCCCCUUGGCGCCAACUCCUAUAAGGAGUAGGGCUGGAAACGCAGCCCUCCCACGCAUAUAAGUAUAGGGGAGGGGCACAGCAAGGCACCCCAACACAUUGGUCUUGGCUGCUGCCCCGUCUCUCCCUCUCGGCAUAGUUCUCGUCCAUGGUUUUUCACUUAGCGAAGCGCUGCCAUUGCUCCACCACCACGCCGUUGUGCUGGUUGUGAUCCCAUCUACUUCUCCGCCUUCUCUUGCUGGAUCAAGGAGGAGUAGACGUCAUGGAGCCGCACGUGUGGUAAACUUGGCACUAGAUCGGUUGGAUUGUGAUCGGAUUGCGAAGAGUCUGACUACAUCAACCGCGUUAUACACACUUCCGCUUUCGGUCUACGAGGGUACGUAGACACACUCUCCCCUCUCGUUGUUAUGCUUCUCCUAGAUAGAUCUUGGGUGUUCGUAGGAUUUUUUUUUCAUACUUCAUUCCCCAUCAGUGAGGUGGGUGUGUGUGGUUACAAGAGCGUACAAGACAAUUUUAUCAUUAAUUAGACCAUGGUAGUUUUAUUCUAUAUAGCAUGGCAUUUUUAUUAUUUAGAACAAGACAAUUUUAAUAAUUAGAACAUGAUAGUUUUAUUGUAGGUAGUAUGUCACUUUUUAUUAGAUCAUGUCAAUUUUACUACUCCCUCUAUUUCCUUAUACAAGGUCACUAUGAAAAAUAUAUUUUGCAUCUAUACAAGGCCAUUAACAGUAAUCGAGACAAAAAUUAAUGAUGUUUCCUCGUACUAGCAACUUGUUUAAUACUUGUAUGCAUGUAGUCAUAAUGACACUGUAGUACUUUCUUCUUAUUCAUUCCUUGCAUGCAUGCGGGUGUAUUAAUAAUUUUGGUUAACGACAAGAAAAAUUGGCUUACAAAACAAUCAUUAAAUUUUACCUUGAUACCUGUAAUCUGAAUUUGUGGCCUUGUAUAAGGGAAUGGAGGGAGUAGUUAAACAUGGCAGUUUUAUUUGUCAUGGCAACUUGUUUUGAAUAAUAGUCAUCGUACAACAUGCAAUUUGAACACAUUUUUGCCAUGGAAACUAAAUAUUUUGUUGACACGGUCAUUUCAAACUAUUUUCGUGAUGUAAACUUAAGAUGUGUUCCACUGACAUCUAAAGUUAACUUGUGUUGCCACUUUUUGUUACAAGCAUCUGGUUCGUGGCGACUUUUUUGUAUGUUUUUUUAGCUAUUUUCAUUUCAGUUGUAAAUCCUAGCUUGAAGGGCUGAUACUGCUUAAGUUGAGCCUGUUUGUGGCCCAUUUUAGAUCCUUAACUUUGGUGGUUCAUCGAGAAGUACGCUUGGGGCACCAGCGUGCCCUACUCCGGGUUCUAUGGGACGUUCGUCAGGUCGUGCCCUACUCAAAGGACCAAUGUAAAAAAAACUAAGUAUUUCAAUCCUCAAAAAUCCUACAGUGCUCGUUUGAUUCAAAGUAGCCCUUGUCGUGACGAAUCUCUCGGAUACAGGAGGCAGAGGACAAUCCAACCCCUAGUUGCUAGUAGUAACAGUAGGAGCGGGACACACUGUGCUCUGCAUGAAUUGAACGGGCGAAUAAAGCUAGCGCAAAACACCAAACAUCUCCGGGUUGUCACCGUGCUGUCCGUGAUCGUCCAAGCACCAGCUACACAGGCCUCGAAAUCCCGUGAUUAAUAUUACUCGACAUGCUUUGAAAUGUCGGGUACCUUCCAUAGGUUUAGGGGGCGAGAUGAUUUGAUUAAGCUGUAUAAUAGGCUAUAGGGUAUUGUGAAGUUGUUAUUUUGUCGAGCACUGGAACAAAAUCUUGCUGAAAAUGGUGCUUUUGAAGAAAAAAAACCGAAAGUAGCCAUAGUAAUAAUCUGAUCAUAUUAUUAGCUGCCAUCCAACGAAUCAAAGAAUAGUAAUACUCCUAGCAGUAAAAAACAAUGAGCUACUAAUCCCUACGACCAACCUAUACAGAGACACCGAAAUCAUAUAACGCCGCCCAAAAAUCAAUCAAAUCCAUAGCCAUUAGUGUCCUGUCAAGUAAGAGCUCAG